AUUGAACGCUGGCGGCAGGCCUAACACAUGCAAGUCGAACGGUAACAGAAAGCAGCUUGCUGCUUUGCUGACGAGUGGCGGACGGGUGAGUAAUGUCUGGGAAACUGCCUGAUGGAGGGGGUUAACUACUGGAAACGGUAGCUAAUACCGCAUAACGUCGCAAGACCAAAGAGGGGGACCUUCGGGCCUCUUGCCAUCGGAUGUGCCCAGAUGGGAUUAGCUAGUAGGUGGGGUAACGGCUCACCUAGGCGACGAUUCCUAGCUGGUCUGAGAGGAUGACCAGCCACACUGGAACUGAGACACGGUCCAGACUCCUACGGGAGGCAGCAGUGGGGAAUAUUGCACAAUGGGCGCAAGCCUGAUGCAGCCAUGCCGCGUGUAUGAAGAAGGCCUUCGGGUUGUAAAGUACUUUCAGCGGGGAGGAAGGGAGUAAAGUUAAUACCUUUACUCUUUGACGUUACCCGCAGAAGAAGCACCGGCUAACUCCGUGCCAGCCGCCGCGGUAA
RNAcentral lists this ribosomal RNA (506 nucleotides) under uncultured bacterium. RNAcentral's name for it is "partial 16S ribosomal RNA". It matches the Rfam family "Bacterial small subunit ribosomal RNA", at positions 30 to 523 of the family's 1533-position model. The record is from RNAcentral.